UGGGUUUGACAUAUUGGUGGUAGGAAACCGAAAGGUGACCGACUCUUCGGAGAGCCAUUACAGGUGAUGCAUGGCUGUCGUCAGCUCGUGCCGUGAGGUGUCCGGUUAAGUCCGGUAACGAGCGCAACCCUCGCUGUAUGUUAUACGUGUCAUACGGGACUGCCGGUAUAAAGCCGGAGGAAGGUGAGGACGACGUCAAGUCAGCAUGUCCUUUAUUAUCCAGGGCUACACACACGCUACAAUGGUCGGUACAAUAGGUCGCAAAGCCGCAAGGUGGAGCCAAUCCCAAAAGCCGGCCUCAGUUCGGAUUGUAGGCUGCAACUCGCCUACAUGAAGU
Molecule: ribosomal RNA, 337 nt
Filed under: uncultured bacterium
Lineage: Bacteria
Description: bacterial SSU rRNA
Rfam family: Bacterial small subunit ribosomal RNA
Source: RNAcentral